AUACGGAGGGUGCAAGCGUUAAUCGGAAUUACUGGGCGUAAAGGGUACGUAGGCGGUUAUUUAAGUUGGAUGUGAAAGCCCUGGGCUCAACCUAGGAACUGCAUCCAAAACUGAAUAACUUGAGUGUAUAAGAGGUUAGCGGAAUUCCAGGUGUAGCAGUGAAAUGCGUAGAUAUCUGGAGGAACAUCAGUGGCGAAGGCGGCUAACUGGUAUAACACUGACGCUGAGGUACGAAAGCGUGGGGAGCAAACGGGAUUAGAAACCCUAGUAGUCC
Molecule: ribosomal RNA, 274 nt
Filed under: uncultured bacterium
Lineage: Bacteria
Description: partial 16S ribosomal RNA
Rfam family: Bacterial small subunit ribosomal RNA
Source: RNAcentral